Molecule: long non-coding RNA, 30875 nt
Filed under: Nicotiana tabacum (common tobacco)
Lineage: Eukaryota; Viridiplantae; Streptophyta; Magnoliopsida; Solanales; Solanaceae
Description: long non-coding RNA (NTAB_LNC000152)
Source: RNAcentral
UUCUGUCUAGCACUACCUUUUUCUCUUUUCACUUUCAUCCUGACCUACAGAUCAGGAUAAUCUUUAUAUUUUGUAUUACAGUCAGUGGCGUACGUCGGAUUUUGCACAAAAGCAUUAAUAUGGUCUAUUAUCACAAUUUGGCUUGCGUUAUAAUUGAAAUUAAGUUAGAGAUUGUGAUAAUUUGAGUCUUUAGUUACUGUUACAAAUUGAUAUUUACUUUGUAAUAUUCAAAUGCGACGUCAACCUAUUAUUUACAUACAUCCAUAUAUAUUUAUUUUUUGAGAAAAUGUUGUUUAUGCACAUAUAAAAAAAAAUCUUAGCAAAGUGGUGUCGCAUGACACCUCUCCUCCACUUGUUGAGAUCCAAUUCCAAAAGACUACGAAUCUUUUACGAUUCGAAAAUCAAGUCGGAGACUACCACACAUAUACAAGAAAUACCUCAACAAGUGGUGGACAUGGAAGAGAUUGUUUUGCAAAUGCCAUUCGUUUUCCAAGCUAUAAAUAGGAGAAUUCGACCAUAUCUUGCAACGACCUGAGUUGCCUUUGACGUGUAUAGGCUCAUAUCUCAAAGCUAGGGUAAGUUCAAAACACUUCUUCACUACCAAUAUGGUUGUUCUAAUGAGUGCCAGCAAGAAGAAGGUAUCAACUGAUUGCCCCAAGUUUUUGGCUACGGAAGCUAAGUUGGGAUCGUCUAUAUGUAUCUACAGAGGAUGUGAAGGUGAUGACGAUGACGAUGACGAUGAUGAUGAUGCUUCAAAGGUGGCACCAGCUGCAUGAUAUUGUAAUGGUAUUUCCUACAACAACACAUAGUAAUACAUAUACCUAAAGCGAAUUAACAAUGUUGACAUCUAAAAGAGAGAGACAUGUAGUGAAGUGAGUUACGUCUGUAGAGAAGGAAGAGAGCAAUGCAUGAGAGAUAUCUUCUUGUUUUCUACUUACAGUACUAAUUGGGUGGUAAACCUCGUAUGUUGUAAUGAUUUCUUUUUAUAUUCUAUAUUUAUAACUAGGCAAUCAUGAAGGAAGCAAUAUUCCAAAUUUAGUGGAGGCAUCAGGCAUGCUUCGCUUCGGUAGCUAGGCUUUUUUGAACUCAUAUUUAUACUUCGAACUUCAAGACAAUGGCCUAAAGUCUCGCUAUGGCAGUUCAAACUAAGGGCUAUUAGUGUGAAGUUCGAAUUACAAUUUUUAGAGUUCAGAAUUUAAUGUGUCUUUUCUACAUGAUACAACUCUUUGUUAAAAGAUGCAUCCAAUCUUUAGGACACAUCUGCAUGCAACGAUAUAUCCAAUCAUUACAAUAGAAUGCGUCUCUUUAUUUAAAGGUAAGUUAUAUUUCACUCCCUGUAAAAUAUAAAUAUACUCAUUCCAUCUGCAGAAAAAUAAUCACUUGAGAUCUACUCCUUCUGGUUCACCAUCUUUUCACAAUCUUCGAGUGUCCCUUUCUAUCUACUCUAAAUUACUACAUACGCAAUUGAUAGAUUAAAGAGUUACGUAUUCAGAACUUCUAUUUGGAAGUAGAACUUUUUAUUUCCUGGAUAGCACGGAGAUCUACUCCACAGACAGCAUCUUUCCGGAGCGUCCCUCGAAUCAAUUUUCCCUACCCAAAGUUUUAUCUCUUCUUUUAUUUUUAACUAUCAUCUCCUGUUUGUUGAUAAACUGUUCUUCUCAGUGUUUUCAUUUCUUAUAAUUUUCAACAGGAUUAUGAAGUCAUUUGUAAGAGAUGGUUGUUCAUCGUGUUGGACGAAUCUUAAUAUAUCUGAACCGUAGUACUGCGUGCUAUACAUGCUUUAUUUUCAUUUCAAGAAACAAAUACAUGGGCAAGGUAGAAAAAGAUAGGGUUAGGCCAACCAUAAAACUCCUAAAAACAUCAAACUCAAAACAGGAUUGGAAAUAAUAUUGAGUUAUUCCAUUGUACCCAUUGGUACUCAUACAACCAUGAAUUGAAAAGACUGUACCAAAACUCCUAAAAAACAACCCCCGCUUGAACUGAAGUCUUAUAUAUUUGGAUAAGGAGAAGUCAAGAAGCUCCCUAUCCUUCUCAAAUUCAGUCAUUAAUUACUUGUUCCUCUAACGAUACGAUUGCUUCUAUUCCAUCCCCACUUUUACAAUCCAUCAAAACAAAUGAGUUCGGUACAAGUGGCCUCCCCCAAUUAAAGUUCACACUGUACGUCGGGUAGUUACAAAAACGGCUUGUCCAAAAUAUGUCAAAUUCAUUAGCAUUGGAUGGCCUAUUUUGAUGCUUAUCGAAAUUCACUAGUGCUGUCAUCAAUAGCUCAUUCUCUUUAACUCGAUCUUUUCCCCGAGUAUUUCCUGUUGCUUCCUCAACCCUCGAACCAUGCUUCGAAGAUUCAUGUUUUCUCUCGCGGUUAGUGAUGUUUUAUACUUCAAUACCACACAAGAGGGGGUAAUUUGUGUGGUGCCUGAUUUUCGCGUGCACUAGAUUAUCGAAGGACCUGGUUCUUCUACGCGCUCCUUACACUACACUUGCGGAAUACAUAAUACAGAAAGUAAAGAAAACAAGGAUUUUUACGUGAAAAACACCCGGCUCAAAAAGUAAAAAAACACGACCUACUACCUAGUAGGAUUUUUUCCAAACACUUCACUACAACUCUGAGCCAACAACAAAGUUUACAAACUCUUGCAAACCUAAGGACUACCUCUAACCCUUGUAGCAACCAGCCACAGGUUGUUGCGACUACUUCAAGUUAACUCUAACUUGAACAAUACAACUAGAGUUUACAACCUCUUGCAAACCGAAGGAUUAACUCUAACCAUUAUAGCAACACGCCACAGGCUGUUGCAACAACUUCAAGUUGCCUCUAACUUGAAAGAUACAACUCAGGUACCUAGUACAAUUUGCUUCUUAGAAAGCUGAAAGGUACAACUCAAAACGCCUACUACACUUUGUAUUAGAAAUAAAAAAAGACACAUAAAACUCUUUAUGGAACUAGUUCUUCAAUCUGGUUCGUGUAGCUUCAGGAUCGCACUCUUAAACCUCACAGGAAUUGCUCACAAAAUGCCUUGCUAUUUUGCUAUCAAUUUGUGCUUAAUUUCAGUAUGUAUGCAUCACCUGUAAAAGAGAACACAAUUGAUAUAUAUAUAGUUAUUAAAUAAAGAUUAACCAGAAGUCUAAUGCUUUACUCUUCCUUGGUGGAAGAGUUCUAGUUAUCUUCAACUUCUAACUCUUUCCUUAUCUUGGAUAGAGUUCUCUUCAAGUAAGGAGUCCUUCUCCUUAUCAAAUAUGCAACUAUUUCGGUGAGGGAUUACCAUAAAUAACCACUUAUACUUAUCCCUUUCACGUGUAUGCCUUUUGCUUGAUUCUUCCCAUCACAUGUGUACACUGUCCCUGGACCUGGUUCAUGCAUGUGUUCCUUUGUCAAUCAUCAAAACCAAAACUGCUCAGGUCAACAAAUUCCUCCUUUUUGAUAAUGACAAACUCAGUGCUUUUCAUAAGCAUGAAACCUGCUUCAACUCAGCUCAACAUCAACACAAUGUUAGAACAUUUUACCUUUUUAAAGUCCCUUAUCAUCAAGGACCGGGUUCAUUAGGUUAUAAACAUCACAGUCCAAAGUAAAAGCACAAUCUAAUUCCCCAUUUUGGCAUCAUCGAAAAGUUGCAUAAUAAAGGUAAGUAACCAGAUUUUAGCAGAUAUCACUCAUGGCCACUGGGGCUACUUCAAAUACAAUCAUGGAUUCAAUUUUCUAUUUAUCAAUCUAAGGAUAUUAUCCAUCUAAGAAAUAUCAACAAACAACUAGAGCAAAAGCAGUGAAUUCCAUUGAUUGAUAAGAUCAAACCACAAAGCAUAAGAAGAAACAAAAACAUAGAACCAUGAACAAAAGACAAAGAAAUCUCACUUGGGUUACUGGUUACAACUAGGCUAGGAAAGAUUUAGGACUGGGAAGGACCUGGUUCUUGGUUCUUGGCUCGAAGCAGUUUCAGCAUAACUUGAAGAAUACCAUCAUUCUUCUCUUUUUACUUUGCAAGCUCACACUUGAGAUAGUCUCUCUCAGCCUCUACUUCAGCCAACCUAGUCUUCAAUCGUUAAAUCUCAAUAUCCUUAAUCAUUUUCUUCCACUAUUUGAGCCUUCUUUCUCCUUUUAGCAGACCUAGUUCUUUUAGACACAAUUGAACCCUCAGCCUCAGCCUCAGCCUCAGCCUCUGUUUCUCGAGAAUUCUUUUGAGAAGUCUCUCUUUUUGGCACUAGGUGUGGGUAUUUCCACAUCCUCAUAUUCAUCUUCAAGAACCAGGUUCAUCUCCUCAAUCUGGACUACUCCACUUGGCUUACCAGCCCUUUUUAUAAGCGACCUUCUUGGCAUUCUCAGCUAAGGCCUUUUUUACAUUGGCCUCACUCUGCGUCUUACGUCUCCUUGUAGUUCUUCCUCUUGUGAGAGGAGUUGUUACAGGGAUAGAAGGAGCACUCUUUCUCUUAGUGCCACCCAUGCUAUUUCCUGCAGUCUUUCCAACUUUGUUCUUCUUCUUUUUGAUUGUAACUAUCUAACACCUUUUGCAACAGAUCAGGACUCUUGUCUAUUUUAGCAAGAGAAGGAACUGGUUCAUGAAAUUGUUUCCUUAACCUAACCACCCCAUAUGCUGCACUUCUAUCACCAGAACCAUCACCUAUCUCCUGUGAUUCUAUCCCCGUACUUUCAUUCAUAGUCUCUUCAAUAUCACUAAUCUCAUCACUUAAUACAAUCAUUGCUCCAGCUUCUUCAGUCAAACCAACAAGAGUGGGUGAAGGAGAUCUAGCCACUCUUUCAUCUCUUUUUCCCCUCAUAUCUACUUCAACACCCUCACUCUUUUUUUUACCACUAAUUUUUACAGACCUACUAGUUUCUACACCGGUAAUCGAACCAACCAACACAAACCUAUUUUCGAGACUCUCAGCAAUUUCAAAAGAAAUAGCAAAAGUUUUUAAUCUAGAGGUUAGCCGUUCAGUUUCAGAUGAAACUGGUUAUUCCCCCUCAGUCAUAGACAUAAAGGACUCAUCAGAUUGUUAGGGUUCUUCUGCUUGACUGGCUUGUAGCACCUCACUCUAUUUCUUAGCUUAUUCUCUACUUGCCACAGUGUUGCAUGCAAUAAUUUUGAUAUGAUUUUUCUUGGGGGUUUGGGUGGUUGAAAGUGUGGGUGAUGGUUCUUUGGGUGUUGAGGAAGGCAUUUCAUAGUUUUUGGGAUUCUCAUAAGUGUUUUCCAUUUGAUCAGUACAGAAACUUGAGAGAAAUAGAGAGAGUUUUGAGGUUUUGGAAAUUUUAAUCUUUCAAAACAAAUUUGAGAUAAGAGGGUAAGGUCAGAUCAAUUUAAAGAGGGAAAGCUUGAGUGUAUAACAACACCUUUUUAAAGUCUAGAAGUCUAAUCACAUUGGAAUUUUUAGUUCAUGAUCCAUAUGAAGUUAUUUCAAAUUAUACCGAGUGUAGAAUACAUACCUUAUAAUCUCGAUGAACCAGGUUCUUCACUGAAAGUUCUCUUGUGUAGGAAUUAUUUUUUCCAAGAAAAUAAGGAUAAUAUCAUUAGACAUCAAUGAGACAUUUUAGCACAUGGCACAAGAGUAUACAAAUAAAAGCAUGAGACUAAGCAAUAUCUAAUCUAAUUAUUCACAAAAUUCAUAAAUUAUCUAACCAGUCAUUGAGUUUGGAGAAAAUCCUAUUGGGUAGUAGGUCGUGGUUUUUUCACCUUUUGAGCCAGGUGUUUUUCACGUUACUAUCCUUGUGUUCUUUACUUUCUGCAUUAUUUAUUCCGCAACUAUAGUGUAAGGAACGCAUAGAAGAACCAUGUCCUUCGAUAAUUGGUAUCAGAGCGGGUUAUCCUUGAAGAGGCUAAUACCUUAGGAAAGUAUCAAGAUGAGUGCACUACCUGGAAACUGUAAAGAGUAAUCUACCACUAGGCCACCACUAUUCAAUGAUCACUACUAUUCUUUAGGGAAGGAUAGGAGAAGAGAUCACUUGCAGAUGACUGAUGGGUGCUUCAUAUGUGGUAAAAAGAACCACAUGAUCAAGAACUGUCCUACGUGGGAUGUCGACUGGAAGAAGGAGAAAUCUAAAAGAAGGAACAGAAAGAAGGAACAUGUUCAUGACAAGAAGAACUACAACAAAAGGUCAUCCAAAGCAGUGGUUGCUACUUGGAAAGAUAAUUCAGAUGAGGAAACUAAUGAUAAUGCUAAACAAACUCUUAUAGCAAUACGAGAAUCUGAAGAUGAACCUGAUGAAGAAUCUGAGAUAAGUUUUCUGGACUUUAAGGAUAAAAUUAAAAUCCUUUCUAAAGAGAGACUAUCAGAAUUGUUGCUAACUUUAAUUGAUGAAUCUAAGAAUAUAAGUUCUGAAAAAGAACAGUUGUCAAAAGAGUGUAACUUUUUAAAAGGAGAAUGCAAAAACCUUGAAAUAAACGUUUGUAAAACUGAAAAGGAAAAUACUGCUUUGAAGAACCAGGUUCAUGAACUUGAUACAACUGUCUUGGAAAUUAGAUAUGAAAAUAUAAAGUUAAAGUUAGGGAUAGGAAAAGAGAUAGCAAGUGAUAUACAACUCAACCGAGGAUGACUUAAGGAAGUUUAAAGAUGAGCUAUACAAAAAGGAAGAAAAUGUAAGAGUUUUGAAAGAGGACUUAACAAAGGUAAAACAUGAGCUUGAUAGAACAUGUAAAUGGAACAGGUCAUCCAAUGCACUUUCAUUGCUACAAGAACACCCUAGUAGAAACAAAAACGGACUUAGCUUUGGGAACUUUGAAACUGAAUGGGAUCCUAAAAAUAGGUACCUAACACUCCCUAAGAAUAAGAUUUUCACACACUGUGGAAAUACUGGUCACUACAAGAGUGAUUGCACUGCGAAAGAAAAGGUAGAUCAAAAGAACAAAAAAUUUGUUCUAGGGAAAAAUAGGCUGCCAAGUUGGGCUAAAAGGAAUUUGAUUCAUCCUUUUGACUAUACAAAGGGACCAAACUAGUUUGGGUUCCUAAGACUAACCCCUGGUUUCUUUUUCCAGGUCCAAGUGAAGGGGAUCAGUCAAAUAUAGUACAUGGAUAGUGGCUGCUCAAAGUAUAUGACAGAAAGCAAGAACCAGUUCCUUUCACUUAAGGACCUUAAAGGAGGUAAUAUCUCCUUUGGAAAUGGGAAAAAGGUGAGAUCAUUGGGGUUGGAAAGGUAGGUAAGACUGACUUGAUAGAUGGACUGAAGCAUAGUCUAAUAAGUGUAUCAUAAUUGUAUAAUAGAGGUAACAUGGUAGCAUUCACAUCUACCAAAUGCUUUGUGAUUAAUCUUACCACUGACAAGAUAGUUUUGCAGGAAAAAAGAGUGAACAACAUAUAUGUUGUAGAUCUAUCCACACUUUCAGAAAAUGAACCCACUUGCUUAAGUGUGUUGGAUAGUGAUCCCCUCCUUUGGCAUAAGAGACUUGGACAUGUUAGUCUAAGUCAACUCAACAAACUAGUCUCCAAGGACUUGGUGAUAGGACUGCCUAACAUUAAGUCUAAGGAAGAUAUAGUUUGUGACGCUUGUGGAAGAGGGAAGCAUGUAAGAUCUUCUUUCAAAAGUAAGAAAAUGGUGAGUACUACCAGGUCGAUGGAACUGGUCCAUAUGGAUCUGUAUGGACCAAUGAGGACAAUGAGCAGAGAUGGNNNNNNNNNNNNNNNNNNNNNNNNNNNNNNNNNNNNNNNNNNNNNNNNNNNNNNNNNNNNNNNNNNNNNNNNNNNNNNNNNNNNNNNNNNNNNNNNNNNNNNNNNNNNNNNNNNNNNNNNNNNNNNNNNNNNNNNNNNNNNNNNNNNNNNNNNNNNNNNNNNNNNNNNNNNNNNNNNNNNNNNNNNNNNNNNNNNNNNNNNNNNNNNNNNNNNNNNNNNNNNNNNNNNNNNNNNNNNNNNNNNNNNNNNNNNNNNNNNNNNNNNNNNNNNNNNNNNNNNNNNNNNNNNNNNNNNNNNNNNNNNNNNNNNNNNNNNNNNNNNNNNNNNNNNNNNNNNNNNNNNNNNNNNNNNNNNNNNNNNNNNNNNNNNNNNNNNNNNNNNNNNNNNNNNNNNNNNNNNNNNNNNNNNNNNNNNNNNNNNNNNNNNNNNNNNNNNNNNNNNNNNNNNNNNNNNNNNNNNNNNNNNNNNNNNNNNNNNNNNNNNNNNNNNNNNNNNNNNNNNNNNNNNNNNNNNNNNNNNNNNNNNNNNNNNNNNNNNNNNNNNNNNNNNNNNNNNNNNNNNNNNNNNNNNNNNNNNNNNNNNNNNNNNNNNNNNNNNNNNNNNNNNNNNNNNNNNNNNNNNNNNNNNNNNNNNNNNNNNNNNNNNNNNNNNNNNNNNNNNNNNNNNNNNNNNNNNNNNNNNNNNNNNNNNNNNNNNNNNNNNNNNNNNNNNNNNNNNNNNNNNNNNNNNNNNNNNNNNNNNNNNNNNNNNNNNNNNNNNNNNNNNNNNNCAAUAGCUAUCUAAAGGAAGAAGUGUUUGUCAAGCAACCUCUGGGCUUUGAAAGCAAGGAAUGUCUUGAUCAUGUGUGCAAGCUUGAGAAGGAACUUUAUGGGCUCAAGCAGGCUCCAAUAGCAUGGUAUGAAAGUUUAUCAAAAUUUCUUCUUGCGCAUGGAUACAAGAGAGGUAAAAUUAACAAUACUUUGUUCAUGAAAGAAAAAGAUAAAGAUCUGUUAGUAGUUCAGAUAUAUAUUUAUGAUAUAAUCUUUGGAGUAACUACUGAUAAGUUAAGUAAGGAAUUUGCUAAACUAAUGGGGAGUGAAUUUGAAAUUAGUAUGAUGGGUGAGCUUAAUUUAUUUUUAGGCUUACAAAUUAAACAAAAUUCAAAUGUAACUACGGUCCAUCAGCAGAAGUAUGCAAAAGAGUUGCUUUAAAAAGUUUAAAAUAGAAGAUUCUAAAGAAAUUGACACUCCUAUAGCAACAGCCACAAAAUUGGAUGUGGAUGAACCUGGUUCAUCUAUUGAUUAGAAGUUGUAUAGGGGAAUGAUUGGCUCCUUGUUAUAUCUUACUACUAGCAGACAUGACAUUGAUUUUAGUGUAGGACUUUGUGCUAGAUUUCAAGCAAAUCCCAAGGUGUCGCACUUGACUGUUGUCAAGAGGAUCUUGAGAUACCUAAAAGGCACCACUGACCACUGUCUAUGGUAUUCAAAGGCUGUAUCCCCAUAUUUGUGAUAACACUAGUGCAACUAGUAUGACCAGAACCAGUCCAUCACAAAAGAACUAAGAAUAUAGAUGUUGGGCAUCGUUUUCAUAGGGAUAAUUUUGAGAUAUGUUGAUCACUGUGGAAUUUUAGGCUACUGAUAAGGAAAUUGCUGAUUGAGAGCGAAAAUGAAAUACAACAUACAUUUUGCGAAAAAUUUCCUGUCUUCCAAUGGUGGUUGAGCCUGCUAUGUAUAGCUUUACUUAGGUAAACAAGAUCCUAGGAUCAAGCCCCAUUUAAAUGAUAAUAAAAGAUCCAUUGAUGAAUAUGUAACGGCGGUCCAUGAAUGAAAAUAUUCUCUAUAAUGUCUGCCCAUUUAAUCUUAGAGAAUAUUCUUCAUUGAAUGUUAUUCGAUGGAAAAUAUUCGAUCUGUUCCCGUUGACCAUGCUCCCUUCGUGGUUUAUCUGAUGUCAAUGCAGUUGUUGUUCCUGGUACUGGCUGUUACCUGAUUCGUCUUUUACCUGUCUUUGGUUCCACGUGUCAUGCUAUCAUUCGAUCAUUUAUUAUGAACUAAUUUUACCAUGUACAGAUAGCCCCCCUUCUUUCCAUUGACAUAUCUUUAUUUCACCGAGAAGUUGGUGAAGAUUCCUUUCUUGGUGAGAAAUCUCUUGAAAAGUCUAUGACACUUGAAAGGAUGCACGCCUUCUCGCAUUUAAUACCCUGAACAUGUGUUGCCCCACGAUUGAGUAAUAUUUUCACCGAUUUUUUAGGUAAUCAUGGUCAUGAUUUUUGUCGUAUAUAUCUUCACUUCUACUUAUUACUUUACUUCUUUACUUUCAAAAUUAGUUUUUAUAAACCUUUCUUCUUCUCUGCACUUACAAUGCAUUUGCUUAGAAUCUUUUUCAUCUCCUUCAACGCCCUAGCAAAAAGUUUUACUAUAUUUUUACUACCAUGGCUUCGUCUACUGCAUCCUCCAGAAACUCUGGCAUUUUAUUCGGUAGAGGCCCUAAGAGAAAUAAGGACCUUGAUGCCGAUUUUAAGCCUCCCACUAUAAACACCAUAAUACCAAAACACCUUAGUAUUGCUAAUGACUUCCAAGAGAAUGCCCUAUCUGCGUCCCACGGACUUGGGCCGUUAGUAGGUACCCAAAUUGAAUCAUGCUUCUGAAAUGGGCGAGGUAAACCUAUUAUGAAGUCCAUGUUUAUUAUCUCCCAUUUCCAAACGGGAAUUUCUAUUCUCUAAUCCUAACCACCAGGCCUCUAGUGUUCGGCUUUCACCUACUGACAAUUUGGAAACAUAGCCACAAAAUCUGCUACAUUCUUUUUUGUAUCAUUCCACCAUUAGAUCUCCUUAAGAUUAUGAUACAUCUUCGUGGAACCUGGGUUGCAACGACCCGACCGGUCAUUUUGAGCUCUAGAAUGUCAUUCAGUGGUUUGAGAUACUGAGUAGCUUCACUUAAGGUAUUAUGAAUUGUACGCAUGGUCGGAAUUUAAUUUCGGGAAGUUCGAAGUUGAUUUGAAAAGAAAAUUCUAAUUUCGGAAGCCUUAAGUUCGAGGAAUUGACUAAAGUGUGAUUUUUGAGUAGACGACCUUGGAAUCAGAAUUUGAAGGUUCCAACAGGUUCGUAUAAUGAUUUUGGACUUAGGCAUAUGCCCGGGAGCGUUUCAGCGCCUAUUAUGGAAGUUGGCAUUUUUGGAAGAAUUUCCUAAAUUUGGGUUGAAGUGCAUUUCAAUGUUAUUGAUGUCCGUUUGGGAUUCCGAGUCUGGAAAUAGCUCAGUAUGGUGAUUCUGGUAUUGGGAGCGCGUCCGGAUAUGAAUAUGCAGGUCCGUAGGUUAGUUUGGGGUCAUUUGGAGAAAGUUAGAUAUUUGAAGGUUUUUGCGAAGUUUGACCGGGAGUGGACCUUUUGAUAUCAGGGUUGGAUUCUGAUUCUGGAAGUUGGAGUAGGUCCGUAAUGUCGAAAGUGAAUUGUGUGCAAAAUUUGAGGUCAAUCGGACGUGAUUUUAUAGGUUUCGGCAUCGAUUGUAAAAAUUUGAAGUUUCAAAGCUCAUUAAGCUUGAAUUGGGGUGCGAUUCACGAUUCCGAUGAUGUUUGAUAUGAUUUGAGGCUUCGAGCAAGUCCGUGUUAUGUUAUUGGACUGAUUGGUGUGAUUGGAUGGGGUCAUGGGGGCCUCGGGUGGGUUUCGGAUGCUUAACAGAUCGAUUUUUGGACUAAGGAAAAUGCUAAGGCAGCAGGUAUCUGGUGUAACCGCACCUGCGAGGUUUUGGACGUAGGUGCAGGGCCGCAGAAGCGACCAAGAGGGUCGCAGAAGCGGUUCUGGCUGGGGAAGUCUGGGACCGCAGAUGCUGUCGAGUUCCGCAGAACCAAGACUGCACCUGCGCACGAAAAGGCGCAGAAGCGCUGCCAGGCCGCAGAAGCGCUGCCACGCCGCAGAUGCGGGAAAUGUUGGGCUGAGCUUGAACUGCUUCCGCAGGUGCGGAGCCGCAGAAGCGGCUAUUGCACCGCAGGUGCGAGGAUCACUGGGCAGUGAGGUUUUACAAAACGGGGUUUUGGCUCAUUUUCACUUCAUUUCGUCUAUGGGAGCCGAUUUUGGUGCACUUUUGGAGUGCCAUCUUCAUCAACUAUAAUGGGGUAAGUGAUUGCUUCACAUUGUGAGUUAAAUACAUGGUUUUUACAUGGAUUCAAGCAUAAAAAAUUGUAGAAAUUUGGGAUUUUGAAGAAAAACCUAGAAAUUGGUAUUAUUGGAUUUUGAUCACGAAUUUGGGCAUGAAAUUGAGAAUAAAUUAUAUAUUGGAGUUCGUAGUGCUAUGGGUAGUGUUUGUUUUCAAAAAGUUUUGGUAUCGGGCACGUGGGCCCGAGGGUUGCUUUAUCAAUUUUUUAAGGGAAUUGGAAGUUGAUAUAAAUUUAUUAAUUAUGAAUAUUAGAGUAUAUUUUGAUUGGGCUGCAUCUUAAUUGACUAGUUUUGGAUCGGCGGGCAUCGGUUUGAGGUGUCAGAGAGGCUUUGGAGCCGGUUAUGGAAUUUUGGAGCGAGGUAUGUCUCUUGUCUAACUCUGUGAGGGGGAAAUUACUCCUAGUUAUUGUAUAUGGAUGUGCUAUACUUGUUGUGGGGGCUACGUACGCGCGAGGUGACGAGAGCCUGUAGGCUUAGGUUAGGUUCACAUCAUGCUAUUGUCCGAGUAGGCUUAGGUUCACAUCAUGCUAUAGCUGUAUUAUUUUAGCAGUCUCNNNNNNNNNNNNNNNNNNNNNNNNNCACUUGCUGCAUAUUUUUUUGUGCAGGCACAUAUAUGGCUAGAGGCCAUGUGAGAGAAGAGGCGUGUAUUUACAUUUUUUUUUCCUAUCCAAUUUGUUCUCCGGACAACUGCUGUAUUUUAUUUUAUAUUCCUAGUUAAUGCUCAUGCACUUGUGACACCGGAUUUUGAGAUGAUUAUGGAUUGUUCUAUAUUGAAUUUGUUAAAAGUAUUAUUAUUUACUCUGUAAAUCCCCAUUCUUUACUAUUUAAAUUAAAAAAAAAAUAUGAUUUCAAAAUAAUAAAAUGAGAACCCAAUUAAGUAAUUAUUGUUGGCUUUCCUGACAGUGGUGUCCGGCGCCAUCACGACCUUUAUGAAUUUUGGCUCGUGACAUGGGUGAAUAGAAUACCUGGAAUUUCGGUCUUCUGACAUAAUCUGCUCUCUAAGCCCAUCUACGUCUGGAACGCAUAGUCUGCCUCUAUACCUCAAAGUACCAUCAUCUCCCCCUUGUUCAAAAGUCGUAGUCUUGUGUUUGUGAAUCCCUUCCGUCUGCUACAAUAAGUAGGGAUCACUGAACUGUUUUUCCUUCACUUCGGCUAAUAAGGAGGAUUCAACCCUUUUCUGAAAAACAACGCCACCAUCUUCGAAGACCAGAAGUCAAACUCCUAGACUUGCUAAGAAGUGGACUUCCUUUGUCAUCGUUCUCUAGUUUGCUUCAACAUGAGCUAAGCUUCCCAUAGAAUGCCGAUAAAGAGCAUCGGCUACAGGAUUUGCUUUCCCCGGAUGAUAGAGGAUAUAAACAUCGUAAUCCUUGUGCAAUUUGAGCCACCUUCUCUGACGAAGAUCCAAUUCUCUUUGCUUGAAGAUGUACUGGAGACCCUUGUGAUCUAUGAAACUAUCAACAUGCACUCCAUACAAAUAAUGGUGCCAGAUCUUUAGCGCAAAUACCACAACUGCUAACUCAAGAUCACGAGUCGAAUAAUUCUUCUCGUGAGCCUUGAGCAAUCUCGAUACGUAGGCUAUGACUUUACCGUGCUGCAAUAAUACGCACCCAAGACCAACCCCUAAAGCAUCACAAUAAAUAACGAACCCUUCGGUUCCUUCCAGUAGUGUCAAGACUGGAGCUGAAGUCAACUGCUUCUUCACUCCUCAAAACUCUUCUCGCAAGCGUCUGACCACUGAAACUUGACUUUCUUUUGAGUCAGCCUAGUCAAAGGGGACGAGAUAAAGCAAAAUCCCUCUAUGAAAUGCAUGUAAUAGCCUGCUAAACCCAAGGAACUUCUUAUAUUGGAUAAUGAGGUAGGUCUAUGCCAGUUCCUCACUACCUUUAUUAUCUGAAAAUCCACCUUCAAGCCUUCGCCUGAGAUGACAUGGCCCAAAAACGCUACUUAUUUCAACCAGAAUUUACACUUAUGAAAUUUUGCAUAUAGCUUGUGAUCCUACAGUGUCUGCAACAAGAUUCUAAGAUGUUCUACAUGGUCAUUCUAGCUACGGGAAUAAAUCAAGAUGUCGUCAAUAAACACAAUAACGAAAAAAAUCAAGAUAAGGUUUGAAGGCCUUAUUCAUAAGGUCAAUGAAAGUUGUUGGUGCAUUCGUUAAACCAAAUGACAUUACCAAAAAUGUGAAAUGUGCAUAGCGAGUCCUAAAGGCUGUUUUUUGAACAUCAACUAUCUUAACCCUCAACUAAUUGUACCUUGAUAUAAGGUCAAUCUUGGAAUAACAUUGGGCACCCCAAAGUUGAUCGAAUAAAUCAUCUAUUCUAGGAAGAGGGUACUUGUUCUUGAUGGUGACUUUAUUCAACUGACGAUAGUCAAUGCACAUGUGCAAAGACCCAUCCUUCUUUCUGAAGAACAAGACCGGUCCGCCCCAAGGUGAGACACUUGGCCCUAUAAAUCCCUUAUCUAGAAGAUCUUUCAAAUGGAAUUUUAGCUCUUUCAAAUGGAAUUUUAGCUCUUUCAACUCUACUAGAGCCAUCCUAUAAGGCGGAAUAGAUAUCGGCUUAGUGUCGGGGAGUAGAUCAAUUCCAAAGUCAAUCUCUCUAUCAUGAGGGACUUCAGGAAGAUCUUCGGGAAGCACUUCUAGGAACUCAUUUACAAUUGGUACUGACUAGAGUGUGGGAAUCUGAGCAUCUGCAUCCCUAACUCGAACCAGGUAAAAGAUAUACCCUUUAGAGAUUAUAUAUCUGGGUUUAUGAUAGGAAAUAAACCUACCCCUAGGUGCUAUCACAUCACCCUUCCAUUUUGGUUUUAUAACCCACUGUGGCAUAACAAGACUCUAACCAAUCCUUGCCCAUGAUUACAUCGAAGUCUACCAUCUCCAAUUCUACUAAGUUUGCUAUAGUAAGGCGAUGAUAUAUUUUGACUGGACAUCCCCUAUAGAUAUGUCUAGCAAUAACUGAUUCUCCAACUAGAGUGGACACUUCAAAGGGUUCACACAACUUUUCCGGUUCUAUAACAAAUUUCAUAGAAAUAUGGGGUUACAUAAGAUAAGGUGGAUCCCGGAUCCAUAAGAGCAUAAACAUCAAAGGUGAAAACCGUUAGCAUACCUAUGACAACAUCUGCACAAGACUCUGUAUCCUAACAGCCUGCCAGUGCAUAAAAGCUAUUCCAACCACCGCCCGUAUUACCGGACUUUGCUUCACCACGCCCUUGUUGGGCCUGAGAGUUAUGAGGGGCUAUUGAAUUAGUGGACUGCGCUACAUAGCCUCCAUUAUUCUACCUUAGUGAUAGACAUUCCCUCAAGAAGUGGCCCUGCUGACUACCCCCACAGCAACCAUUUGUGCCCGAACGAUACACCACUGGGUGCCUCUUACCACAGUGCAAAUAGGGUAACCAGGGACUCUGUAGCCCAUACUAGCUUGUGACUGUGAGUCUACUGCUCAGAAAUUCUGGUUUUUCUUGUUAUACUUGGACCUUUUAACUGAUGUACAAGCUAAAGAGGCAGUAGGUCCUGAUAUUGGUUUCCUGAAGAAGUGGCGAUUACCACCUCCUUGAGAUUAACCAUGGCAGAAAUUUCCUGCAGACUUAGCUCUCUUACUGAAUUCCAUGUCCUUCUCUCUAUGUAGCCGCUCUUCUUCCUUCAUCCUCUCUUUGUUCCCUUGAACAAAUGCAACUCUUAGUAAUGGUCAUGUCGUUGUUCUGAGUAGCUAUAUUAGCAUCAGCAAACAAGUCAUCUGAAAGCCCCAACACAAACCGCCUAACUCUGGACCUCAUAUCACAAACCAUUUCCGGAGCAUACUUGGCCACAACGACAAACUUGAGGUAGUACUCGUUCACACUCAUCUCAUUCUGUUUGAGUCUCUCUAACUAUAAAGCCUUAUCUUCCAAGACCUCAAUGGGUAGAAAAUGCUCAAGAAAUACGUCUGCAAACUCCUUACAAGUCACAGGAGUCGCAUCCUCCCUCGAAACUCCUCCCAUGUUUCAUACCAAGUGUUAGCAACAUUCUUCAGCAUGUAUGCAGCAAGCUCUACUGCCUUAGUGUCUGUAGCAUGCAUCACUCGAAAUAUAUUCUUAACAUCAUUAAUGAAGUUUUGCGGAUCCUCAACCUUUUUAGACACUGUGAAUAUUGGAGGUUUCAUGUUGAGGAAUUCCUUGGACAUGGAACUACCUGUCUCAUCAACAACACUUGUUCCCUGCCUUUGAGCCUCAGUACAAAUAAUCUGGGUGAGCAACUGGAUAGCUCCCCUGACAUCUAUGUCUUAUGAACUAGGCACUGAGCCUGAUGCAACUCCCUGAGCUGGAGUGUCCUCCUCCUGAGCAGCAUUAGCCGUAGCCCCUAGUUAGUAGUUGAGGCCCUCUUGGUGUACUUUCAUUUUUGCAGACUUUUUUCUAAAAUACGUAAUUCGCACAAGUUAGAAGGAUUCCAGAAAGCAUAGCUCUAACUACACGGUCUAGAGUAUGAAAGAAAUGAAACAUUUCUAGAUGUCUUGGUGGUCAAAUGUUUACACGUGUGGCGCUCUCACACACAUAAAGGUGUCCCCACUGGACACAGCUUCAUAGAUUCACUAGGACUCUUGAACCUAGACUCUAUUACCAAGCUUUGUCACGCCUCGAACCAGGGCCCGAGCGUAGCACGACAUUCGGUGCCUGAUUGCAUGUGAUUGAGCGAACCAACUGCAUGAUGGAUCAACAUGUGGUAUAAUUGUAAGAUGAAUAUAAAUAUGAAACAUACUGAUUUACUAAAGAGUCUAACUCAAUUAUCAUAAAUGCGGAAAGUACUGAAAAGUCUACAAGUAUAAACGAGUAGCCACCAAGGCUAAUACAUAAAAGCCUUCUUACAUCUGACUGACUGGACUAUAGUCUACAAAGCCUCUAAAGAAUACUGAAAUGCUAACUAUUUAACGAGACAAGGUCACUGGCAUACCUUACUAACUGAAAUACUAUAAAGAAUGAAAAAUUGGGAUAAUGCCCCGAAAGACUGGGGCUCACCAAUAGCUGAUACGAGAUGUCCUAGCAAGCUGAAUCGUCAACCUAUAAAUCGUUACCUGGAAUGCGAGAUGCAGGCCUUAGGAAAAAGGGACGUCAGUACAUUUAUAUUGCACUAGUAUGUAAAACAACUAAAAGAAAGAACUAUAAAUAAGUAAAGAUAUGAAUACUCCCUCUUCUGAAUUGUGAGUCACUUGUUUAUCUGAAUAAAUAAACUACGGCCUCAGGCCCAAAAACAGAUGUUCAACGUCAUGAUCUAAAAUUAGGAACUGAGAAUCAUGUUGCAAUACAUGAUACUAAAAUAUUGAAUCAUACUGGGUUACAUGAUACUGGAAUGCUAAAUAGGACUAGACAGGGAAUUGUAUUCACAAUAAAAUGAUUUUUCAUAACUGAGACUUAUCGGAUAUAGAACGAAUUAUGAACCCAUGUCUGCUAGAUAAUAGAAGUUCUACAACUAUUCAUGGAACUAAGGCAUAAUUACUUUCAGAGGAAUUUCGUAAUAGUCAUAAGAAUGAGACGGUGGGAGAAUCAUAAGCAUUCCAAAACAUAGAGAGUUGGCCAUACAUUACACUGUCCCUUUUAAGCAUAUCACAAAAUUCGUCGCCUCUUUCCACGAUAAUCUAUGGCGAUAUAUGUCAAGAGAACUAAUAUUAGCACUAAGGCUCAUGUGUUGGUAACCUAGGAAUUUUAUCAAACACCUUAUGGGCGUAAAGCCUCGUAUGCCUAAUUAAUGGUGUUUCUCACCCAACAUCCCAUUCUCUUGCUCCUAGAUAAAUUCUAAAAUCUUAAAUUGUUAUAAUCAAUAUCAUUCUUCAUCAUCCAUAAGAUAAACAACACCCUUAACCAAUAAUCAACAGUCAAAAUUGUCAUGCCCCGACCUCGGGGAGCGCGACCGGCGCUCAAACGAGAAAACCUAGCCGAGCAAGCCUACUAGAUGCCUUCUACCCAACCUUUCCCAUUAACAAUAUAACAAUCAAUACAAGUGAUAAACAUGAGAAGAGUCAAGUGUUCCACAUUCUUUUUCCAUUACUCAAAGGAUAUUCAUUUACGAUUUCCAAAAUAUUACAAGUUUAUAGAUUUGAUGCGAAACCGGUUUGCCAAAUACCAACACUUUGAGUUCCAUUCCCAAUAUCAAACACUACCCACAACCUAUCUACGAAGCCUCUAAGUAAAACAGAAGUGAAGAAUCGAAGUGCCGGCGACAAGUCCCCAGCUAUACCUCAAAGCACAAUAUACAACGUUAAAUGACAUAAAGCACGGAAUAUAGUACGGCUCACCAAAACCUGUUGAAUAAGGAGUAACUGCUAUCUAGGAUCAAGACCGCUCACUGAUGAACAACUUGCAUCCAUUGCAGAUGCAGCACCCCCGACAAAAGAGAUGUUAGUACAUGUGGAAUAGUACUAGCAUGUAUAGGUAAAUGCCCCCUUUCGAAAUAGAAUGCCAAUAUAAGAAGGGGAAAACUAUGGAGAUGCAGCACCCCCGACAAAAGAGACGUUGGGAGAUCAUUAGCUGUGAUAUACCACCGUGAUUUUAGCAGGGAGUCCGAUCACUGCCCGAUCAGCUAGGCCGUCUCACCCAAAGACAUCAACCAUAAUCACAAUCAUUAUCUAUAUAUCAAUCAUUGUUUCAAUUAUAAUCUUAAACGCAAUCACCACCAUGUGUCCGGCAUGGCGUCCGAUCACGACCCGACCGGCUUGGCCGUCUCACCACAAUGUCGUAUGGAUCCACAUCACCAUUUUCUAGAAAUCAUCUCAUCCUAAUAAAGGAGAAUAUUUUCAUCAGAUCAAUUCCAUCCCAAUAAAGCGGUACAAUCACAAUUCACUCCUACACCGACACGUGUAGUUUCGGGGUUAGGUUAUUCCAACCUACCCUUCCUCAACGACUAACAAUACUCCCAAAAAUAUUUUUGUUUUGCACAAAAGGGAAACAAAAGUACAAAUAUAUUUUAUAUUCACCUCAUAACCGUUCACACAAUAAAUAGCUUCAUUAGUACUUUCAACCAUUCACAAUACCAUUAUUUCAUUGGCUCUCUUGGCCAUACUUAUGAUUCAUCAUUCAUGGCACGUUGGCCGUAUUUCGUAUUCCACAUUUUUCAUUCUUUGACUUUCCAUGAUCAUCAUCACAAACAUCAACACAUAGAAUAUUUCAGAAAUCAUAAUUUUAAGUUCAUCAGUAGUGGAGUCUUUAAACACAUUAGACCCUUUUCCAAAACAUGAAGCACAAUGACUUGUAAUCACAUUACGAGUUAAAAAUCAUAAACGAGUGAAACAUCAUAUUUUUUAAAUACUUCUUCACAAAAGGCAAUACACAAUUUCAACUCUUGAGUACGUAAGAGCUCAAAUCACAGUGAAAAUAUUUAUAAAGGAGAGCAUGGUUAUUUACAAUUUACACACGACUUCAAACCAAAUGCACUAGUUACAACAACCAAGUCCACGUUUUAUAUCUCACUCUUAGUUCUUUCACUUUUAAGCAUAUUUAUGGAUCAUCAUCAAAAAGAGAAUUUGGGAUCAAGGCCUUAAGCAUAAAUAUGAACAAUAGGGGCCUUAGGCGUAUGGAGUUUUCUUUCACAAAUGGGCAUAACAACUUGCAAUUUACACAUGAUUUGAAAUCAUACUAACUCGACAUAUUCAAAACACUAGGAUACAUUCCCGAUGGAGAACACAAAAUGAUAGGAGAAUUUGGUGCACCUUGUUUAGUAUAUAUCUUUCAACAUAAGCUUAUUCAGAAUAGUCAAAUAUAUAAGGAAUAACUAAGAACAUGGGAAUUAGCAACUUGGGUCAACCAUCCUUGAAACUUACGAGAAUAUCAUGGAAUUCAAUUUCAAGAGAGAAGUUUAGCCAUCAUACCUUUCUUGAGCUUUUCUUAAGUCACUACAAUGUCCCAACAUCCUAGCAAUAACAAUCUAUAGGAAAAUAGCAAGAAAUUGGAUAAUAAUUAGAAGGAUUCCCAUGGUGUAACUCUCUUAGUAAUUUUGUCAAACACCUACUAUGCGAAAUAGACUACAAAGUUCCACAAUGGUAACCCCUUCCUCCAUCAACCAAUUCCAACAAGAAACUUAACCAAAAUGGUUUAUUAACCCCACAUACUACAACUUAUUGUCACAUGCAUGUCCUAUUUCCAACCCCACAAUAUACUUGAACUCAUAACCUCUUGCAUGAAAGCUUAGGAGUAGGACUUACCCGGAUAGAUGAUAAUCUAGUGAAUGACUUCCUUGAUUCUUGAAGAUUGGUGCAAGAAUAUGUGAUUGGAAUGCUAUAGUUCCUCCUUCUCUCUCUAAAAUACUCUUACCUCUCUCUAAAAUCAUCAGAGAUUCGUUUCAAAAUGAGCUCCUAAGGAUAUUUAUCAAAAUGGGGCCGGGUUAUAAAAAUAGGAAAAUGGACCCUCUGAACUCAGGUCUGCGAUCGAAGAAUAGACCACAGAACAGAUAUGCAGCCUGCAAAAUGGACCGCGAAAAUGAUGCCCAGAAAUGGGCCGAUCUGCGAUAGCUUUGCGGUCCGCAGACCACUUAUGUGGCUGCAGAGUGGACCACAAAAUCACUCUCCAAAAUAUUUCAUGCCAGAUGUGCAACGGAUGUGAGGAACGUGAAACAACUAUGCGAUCGCAUAAUGGACCGCAGAACAACCUUCAAAAUUCAACAAAUUCUCUGCUCAACUCUGCGAUGAUUAUGCGGCAAGCAAAAUGGUUCUGCGGUCGCAAAACUGACCACAGAAUCGCCUUCUUCCGCAAAAACAUUCCAUCAACUCCUCGGUGCAUUCUUCAAUCCAAAAAAGUAUGUACUGCGACUUUCUACAAUCCUCAAACACAUAAGCCUAGCUCGGCACCACAAAACCUCAAAUUCCUUGGAAAAGUUUAUGGGGCCUUACGUCCUCCCCCGCUUAGGAUCAUUCAUCCUCGAAUGAGGAGUAGAGUAUACCCAAAUCACCCAACAUAAUUCAUCUCUUCCUUCACACAUCGCAAUCCUCCAAAUUUGACUAACUCCCAAAUUUUCCAAAAAUUUUGGCAGAGUCUCCUCUGUAAUUGGACCUAACCACCUUCCAAAGUAACACUAAAACCACCCUAACAACACAUCCAUAUAUAAACAAAGUAUCACAAUAUAUGUUAAUAACACCGAUCUCAACAUUAAGGGCAUUACAUUAACAGAAGUGGUAUUUGGACAUGAACUGCAUAUUUUUUAAAUCGUAACACCCAGAAAGUACCUUUUGAACCACAGUCAUUUGGAUAUACAAACAAGUGAGAAUAUUUUAUUUCCACUACACUCUCGGCCAUCAAGGCAACCUCCUCGACUCACAGACUUAGCCAUAGCACUUGACGGAGGCAAUCUCAACUUCCGGGCUUAUCUAACAAGGAUGACAAUAGGGUACCUCUCAUAAGCCAAUUACCCAUUAACUUUACCUUCAAUAGCUUCGACAAGAACGAUAGUCAAAGGACUCCCAACUACCUUCUUUGACGUAGACACAUGAAGAAUCGGGUGCAUGGAGAACAACGAUGGGGGACAUCCUACGCUUAGCUCGGCCUAUGUGCCUCAAGAUUCUAUAAGUCCCAAUGUGUACCACUCCUACUUUACCUUUAUUAACAAUUCACAUAAUAUCUUGAUGGAGAUAAUAUGGAGAAUAACCCGUUCACUUUCUUCAACUCUAAAUUUCAAUGAUGAACACCCGAAGUGGACCCUUGGCGACCUUCAACCCCCAUCUCCUUCUUAUACUAUGGUGUGACUGAAUUAAUAUGACCAUAGAGUUCAUACCCAAUAUCUUCGAUUAUGGAGUGAUGCUUAUUUUUUAUAAUGUGAGAAACUACAACUCUCUAGAGAUGUACUACAAAUAGGAACAACGAGGUUCGAGUUUGAGCUAGAAUUGUUCAUUAAUCCACCAAGGUGCUAAGCAGGGCAUUUCAGGAGGUUAUAUUCUAAGAGACAUGCGGGUGACCACCAAUAGUGCUGACAUGGUUAAUCAUUGCGAUGACAUCAUAGAUUCAACAAACGAGGCAUAGAGUUACUAGUACACAUUAAUAAUGUGGGAACCAUGUACAUGAUCCUAAGUUGUAUAACAAGUGAGACAUUUUAGACAUGUGAUAUAUGAAAGGCAUGAUCGGGAGGAUAAAACAUUAGCAUCAAUUAUUCUGGGAAGAUGAUGAGUUAUGAAAGUGAUAGUAACAAUUGUUUCACUCCACAUGUGCCUUGUUCUGCAAUUGUAAGCCUUGAAGAGAAAUAGCCAAGUACGUGACACCAGUCGCCUCCUUGAGUGUAGGGAAAAUCAGUUUAGCUCAAAAUAAGAAGAUUCUUGUACCAUGAAUAUGAUAGAGAUAUAAAAUAUAUAUGAAGUUGCAUUACGCCCUCAAAAGUAACUGACACAAGGAAUCUAUGCCACAAGCCCACGAGGUUGAAAAAGAGGUUGAUCACUUGUGAGAUUAUUAUUAUUCUGGUAGCUUACCACUCUCCCAAUAGUUGAUCCUAUACCAGAGGACUAGAGAUACGGUUGGCUUAACCCUGAAACUAAAUAUGUUCAUGAUAAGGGCCUAACAAUAUGAAACAUUUAAUUUCAACCUUUCAUGGGUGAAACCAUGUAUCUAGGACAUCUUAAUAUUGGGAUUAAGGCAUGCAUAAUAUUAAGGAUAGUAAACACUCCGCACAUGACAAUGGCAUAGUAAAGGAUUCUAGAAGCCGAGUGUUUAGAGGUGACGCAACCCAUGAAGAUACAAUGAAGUAAUCAUGGAGGGUUUUGCGAAUGUUCAUAAUGAGUUCUCCAUGGAUUGUUUAUGACUUGAAAGUACUCAUAUGCUACCGGAGGAUGGGAAAACAUGUUAAGCAAAAAUGAUGCUAUGAUAACCCCAAAGGUGCAUUCAACUUAAUGGAGAUCCCCUUAAGAAUCCUAUGAGACAGGGAGUGUUACAGUGAUACAUAGAAGGACGCGAUCUCUCAUGGUUAUCCAACAAAUGUCAGGAAACUAGCACAAUGAAUUCACUAACUAAGGAAAACAGUUAAUACAUAUUGUAGAGGUGUAAAGAGAAAAUGAACAUUUGUUAUGAGCUCGACAUGUUUCUGCUAUAAUAACUCUCAAACUGCAGUAUCAGGCCACGUCAUGAGCAACUACAAUACUAGGAACAAAGUGAGUUACUUCAUGAGGUAUGAUCUAGGUGGAUUGAAAGUUAUACUAAGAUGGGCAGAUAUAAGAUCUUCCUAUGACGAACUUGUGUAAAUCCCAAAUUUCCGAGAAACUUGAUGCGGACAAGUGACCAUUUCAAUUCACAUGUACACAUAUGAUAGGUGUUUAGAUAUGCUCUUAUGUUACUAGACAGUGAAAAGGGUUUAUGAUAAUGCUCACAAAGGGAGUAAAGUGACUGUUCAAACCAUAUGAGUCACCUGCAUAGGAGAAAGAGAGUGGCUCAAGAAAGAUAUCGGCAUAAGGUUGCCUUACAUUAGAUUCGAUACCCUAUAGAUAAACAUUAUGAUAGUGCAUGCACAAGUACAAGUGAGCAGGUGUUAUCCAUUUGAAUUUGAAGGUUAUAUAAGAAAUUCAUCAGGUACAGUCUUUUGUUGAGGAUUUAGGAAAGCAAGUGGGAAGUAUUAACCUAGGGUUAUAACCCAAUUCAAGAAAAUCAUUAUAGAACUCAAUUCCUCAAGAGGUUUUAAAUAAGAGAAUUGUGAUAAAAAGGCUUCACGAAUAAUGUGUCUCGUUCAAAGAGUAGGUACAUGCAAUGUUUUGUGAUUCAGUUUCUUGUUAAGGCCAUAUUUAUGUAGGCUCUUCAAUAUAGAUGCACAUAUACAACAAGGAGAAUUAUGCGGUGUUCAUACAUGGUGAUGUACUAAGGAGUGACUUACUUGGUGACUUUAGGUUGACCGGAAAGUGCCUUAAAGCACGCCCCUCGACUCCACAUCUAUAACAUACAUUAGUACCAUAGUGACAUACCUCUGAAUGACAUCUCCUAUACUUCACGCAACGAGUAUGAGGUCCACUAAACUGACUCGCCCCGCUAACAUGAUAUUUACCCUUAUCCUUCCUCCAAGACCCCAUGAUGGGAUUAACAAUCUCUGUACCAGCUUUUUGUAUGAGCUUAUGGGAUUUCCCAAGCCUACCACCCCUAACACGCUCCUGAGCAUACUCGCAACACGACGUCAAAUGUUCCUUCCCUUAUAUCCGGUGGACCAGGAUGGGUGUACCUAACCUAGGGCAUUUGUUCUUCUUGUGCCCCCUUUUUCCACAUCCAUAACCUAUUUUAAGAGACAUCCAACAUCUCCCCAAGUGACGCUUCUUACAAAUCAAAUAAUCUAGUCAUAGGUACCAACAACUCUCUUUCGUUUCUUAGGUCCUCUCACCAUAUGAUCCGGUGGUGCGGUGACAUUGAUAGGAACAAGGACACUUCCCUUGGAAACAAGUUCUUCCGAUCCCUCCACGGCUCGACACAUUAUCCCAACGAACUCUAGUGCAAUCACUCUGAAAUUCAAUGGCGAGGUCAUACCCUCCUAGUUGCUUCGAACUCGUGGAUUACUCAUCUGGUAAAUGAGACAUGGCGAGGAAAUUAAAUUCCUAUAUUGAGCUCUAUCACACGAUCUGGAGUAUCAAAGAAGGGUGAAAUUCCAAAAUGUCCAAGUAGCCUCCUAAUUAUAAAAGUGGUCGACAACACACCGAUAAGAAGGACUCUACUACACACGGCUCCGAAACAUCCUAGGACACCUUAAAACCUUACGCUCAGAUACCAAGUUUGUCACGCCUUGACCUCGGGGAGCACGACCGACGCUCAAUCGAGAUAAUUUGGUCGUGCAAGCCUGCUAGAUGCCUUCGACCUAACCUUGCCCAUUAACAAUAUAAGAAUCAGUACAAGUGAUAGAUCUGAGAAGAUUCAAGUGUUCCACAUUUCUUUUCCAUUACUCAAAUGAUAUUCAUUUACGAUUUCCAAAAUAUUACAAGUUUCUAGAUAUGAUGAAAAAUAGAUUUGCCAAAUACCAACACUUCUAGUUCCAUUCCCAACACAAGACACCACCCACAACCUGUCUACGGAGGCUCUAAGUACAAUAGAAGUGAAGAAUGAAAGUGCCGGCGACAAGGCCCCGGCUAUACCUCAAAGCACAAUAUACAACGUUAAAUGACAUAAAGCCCGGAACAGAGUAGGGCUCACCAAAACCUACUGAAUAGGGAGUAACUGCUAUCGAGGAUCAAGACCGCUCAAUGAUGAACCACAUGCAUCCGUUGAAGAUGCAGCGCUCCCGGCAAAAGGGACGUUAGUACAUGUGGAAUAGUACUAGUAUAUAUAGCUUAAUGUCCCAUUUCAAAAUAGAACGCCAAUAAAAGAAGGGGGGAAACUAUAGAAACAACAAGUAACAAUCAACAGCAUCCAAAUGCCAAGUUUAAAACUAAACAAUUUUCAAAAUACGGAUAUAAUAUAUAUAUUUUUGGUUGGGAGAUCAUUAGCACCGACAUACCACCGUGAUUUUAGCACAGAGUUUGAUCACAGCCCGAUCGGCUAGACCGUCUCACCUAAAGACAUCAACCAGAAUCACAAUCAUUAACUCAAUCUUAAUCAUUAUCUUUAUUAUUCUGCCUUGCUGAUGGAUAAUACCUCAAGAAAUGGCUCUGCUGACUGCACCCAAAGCAACCAUUUAUGCCUAAAUGACACACCCCUAGGUGCCUUUUACCACACAUGUUGCAAAUAGGGUAAUCAGGGACUUUGUAGCCCACACUAGCCUGUGACUGUGAGUCUGCGGCUCUGAUAUUCCGUUUAUUUUCGCUAAACAUGGACCACUGAACUGGUGCAGUAGUUGAAGAUGGAGCAAGUCCUGAUUUUGGUUUCCUGAAGAACUGGCAAUUACUAAAUCCUUGAGAUCCCCCCAUCGCUGAAAUUUCCUGCAGUCUUAGCUCUCUUGCUGAAUUCCCUGUCGUUCUCUCUCUUUAGCCGCUCUUCUUCCUUCAGCCAGUAUUUUUCCCUUGAACAAGGGCAACCAUAUUAGUAAUGGUCAUGUCAUUGUUCUGAGCAGCUACAUUAGCAUCAGUAAACAAGUCAUCUGAAGGCCCCAACGUAAACCGCCUAACUCUGGCUCUCAUAUCACGUACUAUUUCCUGAGCAUACCUGGCAAGAGAGACGAACUUGAGGUAGUACUCGUUCACACUCAUCUCAUUUUGUUUGAGUCUCUAAAACACUAAAGCCUUAGCUUUCAAGACCUCAAUAAGUAGAUAUGCUCAAGAAAUGCAUUUGCAAACUCCUUCCUAGUCACACCUGUCGCAUCCUCCCCUCGGGACUCUUCCAAUGUUUCAUACCAAGUGUUAGCAACAUCCUUCAGCUGGUACGCAGCAAGCUCUGCUGCCUCAGUGUUUGUAGCAUGCAUCUCUUGAAAUAUAUUCUGAACAUCAUUAUUGAAGUUUUGUGGAUCCCCAACCUUUUUGGAAACUGUGAAAACUGUAGGUUUGAUGUUGAGGAAUUCCCUAGACCUGGAACUACCCAUCUCAUCAACAGCACGUGUUCCCUGCCUUUGAGCCUGAAUAGCAACAAUCUAGGUGAGCAACUAGAUAGCUCCCCUGACAUCAAUGUCUGAAGCACUGGGCACUGCGCCCGAUGCAACUUCCUGGGUAGGAGUGUCAUUAGUCGUAGCCCCUUGGCUAGUAUUUGAGGCCCUCUUAGUGUACGUUCUUUUUGCAUGCAUUUUUCUGAAAUACAUAAUUUGCAUUAGUUAGAAGGAUUCAAGAAAACAUAAUCUCUAACUACAUGAUGUAGAGUAUGAAAGAAAUGAAACAAUCCUAGAUGCCUUGGUGGUCAACUGUUUACAUAUGUGGCACACUCACACACAUAAAAGUGACCCCAUUAGACACGGAUUCAUAGACUCCCUAGGACUCUUGAACCUAGGCUCUUAUACCAAGCUUUGUCACGCCCCGAAUCAUCACUUGGGCAUAACACGUCACUUGGUGCCUGACUGAAUAUGACCGAGCGAACUAACUAGAUGGCUGGAUCAACAAGUGGUAUAAUUUUAUGCUGAAUAUAAACAUGCAACAUGCUGAUUUACUAAAGAGUCUGACUGAAAUAUCAUAAGUGCAGAAAGUACUCAAAAUUAUGAAGGAAGAAAACUAACUACCUUGUUAUCCAUAUCCAUGUAAAUACCAAAUUGGAAAAAAUAUGAAGGAAAAACAAACGAAGAUUAAGACUCACUAACAGUUGUAGCAGCGAUGAAGAGAGGAAUGAAGAUAGUGAAAAUACAAAAUCAAUAUCACAUAAAUAGUGCUAGAAAUAAGAGAGAAAAAUUAAAGCACAAAAGCCAGAGAAGAAGAUGCUCACAAAAAAACACAUAUAGGAGGCGACGUAGGCAGAAUUAAGUGGAAUUUGUCAUUAUUAAGGGUUAGGCAAGAGUUUUAAUUUAAUAGUGAUGACUGAUGACCAUUGGACUUAUUUUAUGUCUAUAAAUAUUGAUUAUAGUUUACUGAUAAGGAGUUUAGAGUACGUUAGAUUUUCAUUGUAACCUCAGAUAUUAAUAUUGGAUAGAUCCUGUUACUUCUCAUUUUCAUUUGACUAUACAAAGUUCUUGCUAUAUUAGUAUUAUUAACUUAAAAGCCUCAUUAACUUCGAUUGUUUCUUGGUGAUGUUUAAAUGAAUCUUCCGCUUAUCCAAUCUUCUUCUUAAAGUUUGAAUAUGUUAUGUUCAAUUUGUCAUUUUGUUGAUAGGUUGGAUUAUCCUCUUGCCUAAGUAUUUCGCACAUGACUAAGUCUGAAUGUAUCAUUGCUUUGGCUUAAGAUUUUGUUUCGGUCGCAAUUACAUUUGAUCUUUUGUUAGGUAAUUUAGCAAAUAGUAGUUCUUCCUUUUUCCAUGGCUAAGUUUCCUUUCACACGGUUUUUGACUUGUAUAAGCUUAUUUGCAUUGUAAUGACCUUCAGUUUUAAGAUUGUGUCCAUUAUUUCAUAAAAAACUUAUAAAGGUUGUCUGACACAAAUUACAUCCCGAUAAAGGUAUGAAAAUGAUGUUAAAUCAUGUAUUUUCUUGGGUCUUAUAUAGCGGUUCCAUAUAAGUUAAAAUUUACAACACUCUUUUCUAAUGAAAUACAGAAAAUCUAUAUGCUUUGUAUAUGCUGUAUAAUUUUAAACUAGAAGGACACCAGACAUUUACAGGACUCUAUUGAGAAAUGAGGCUGGUAAUGUGAAGUGAUUAAGUUUCCGCUUUGAGGAAAGCUCUUCUCAACCUCAACGGGUUUCACUUUUCAGGAUAAGGAUAUGUGAUGUAUCUUAAGAAUGGAUUGGUGGACUUUAAAACCUUUAGAUGGCAUCACUUGACAAUUAUGUGAAGUUCAUAGCAAAAAGUUUGGAAAAUGAAAUGUGUGCCUAAAUAAGAUAUGGAGGGAGACUGUAUAUUUGUGAGCUUAUACAAACGUAUGUGGGCUUAUUGUUAAACAUAGUCAUAAUUUUUUCAGUCUAUCUGUCUAUUUAUUAAAUAAAUAUCAUUUCUUUUAAUUUAAUCAAUAUGUAUGGUCUUGGAUCAUUAAUAAUAAUACAUUGCCAUUUUCACGACUUAAACUACUUAUUUGAUAUAUUUAAACUACUUCUCAAUUUGUAUUUAACUUAAAAAAUGACUGUGAUGGAGGAACUGUUCAAUAAGGCUGAAUGCCUUUUUGACCUCUGUUUAUACUUUAUAAUAUGGUGGGAUUUAUCAUGAGAAGGUGCAUUUAUGGAUUUUUUUGGUCAAGAUUUAUGGAGAUUAAAGAUAUAUAAAUGCAGAAGGAAAAUGCAUCACCCAUUACAUGCAUUUAAUAGCUUUAAAGAUUUAAUGUAAAUGGAACGUUUCAUAGUAAUCUCAUUCUUUGUUAAAAUGCUCAUAUUUCCUAUUGCCAAGGCUAAAUACUCCGUAUUGAGGAUAUUAACCAAUUCAUUUUUUUUCCAAAGAUAACUUAAUACUAUAAGAUUAAAUAUUCUUCCUUAAGUAUUGUCUAUGAAGAAUGAAAAGACAUCUCCUUUGGCAGGCGUGGACCUACAUAACGGCAAUGAGGAUUAUUGUAAGGCAGGGUACUUAGGACCAUAUUUUAAUAGGUUGCCUAGAAGUAGGAACAUUUGCAUGCCCUCAUACAUAGAUUGUGUCAUGUACGGUGCUUGAAGGACCAAAAUUGCACUCAUAGAUAACAUUGAAAAAAAAUUGUGAUUUUAUCAAUUUAUAGAAAUUAUUUAUGUUUGGCUACUUAUGAUAUUUUUAUCUUUCCUAUUUUAGCUAAAUUCAUUAAAACACAAUUUAAUAAUAUUUUUAAUGUGGUCCAAUUAAAAUUUUCAUCUCCAAAAGUGAAAUUGUUAGUAGUUCCCUUCAAUUUAAAAUAGCUGUACUUUGCUUUUUACUUAUUAAUAUUUGCCAUAUGUUCCUAACGUGGUUGCAACUUGCAACAUCAAAAAACAGAGAAGUAACGCCCUUUCAUUUUGAUAGAGCACCAUUCUCAUUCAAGUUUUUACCCUCCAAUGUUUCAUUCCUUUUGGACAUAUCAAAUCUAUAUGAGGAGAGAUCUCAAACGAACAAAAAAUAGUCGCAGUUUGAAGUGAUUGUGAUAACGACAGACGGUAGACAUGCAGUGGUAAUGGUUUCUCCCCACAAAGAUUUGUGUAUAUUCGUGGAUUUUACAUGUAUGUCAUAAUAAGAUUUCUAUAUUUCAUGAAUAGAAAAAAAAUACGUAUUCACUUUAAUUUUUUUUAUAUAUAAAGAUAAAAAAGUGUGUACCCGUGUCAAGCAACUAAAAGAGUAAAUUGUGAAUAGCUUAUGCCAAGAAAAUAAAAAGAAAUUUCUCUUCUUUAUCUUUCUCCUUUCUUUUGUGAAACCCAACAUGAUAUAAAAUAACAAGGUAAACAAUUAGGUAUAUAUAACCUAUUUUUAUUAUUUUUAAUAUUCGAAUAUUAGAAGAUCAUUUCAUAAAGAAGUUUUUCUUAAACCGCGCGAAGUGCGGCAAGUUCACUAGUUAAAUUAUAGAUUUGUAUAAAUUGACGAUCUUAAAUUAACUUAACAUUGUAAGUCUAUCACUCUGUAAGGAUCCCAUCACCUCACGAAGAAUUAACAAUCUAAUUCAAAUAUUUCAGGCCCCCUCUUUAGUUCUUCUUUUUCUUAAUUCUAUUGCGCUUCUUGAUUUUUAACCUUUAGCACUGUUAUUUCAAAGCUGGAAAAUCAUCUGAAGUUGUGCACAAGACAAUUUGGUAAAAGAUCUCCUCAUGCUUAUGCAUAAGGCCUUCUAAUGAAUAUAUGGCUGAUUAGCUCUUCUGUCUAGCACUACCUUUUUCUCUUUUCACUUUUAUCCUGACCUACAGAUCAAGAUAAUCUUUAUAUUUUGUAUUACAAUCAGUGGCGUACGUCGGAUUUUGCACAAAAGCAUUAAUAUGGUCUAUUAUCACAAUUUGGCUUGCGUUAUAAUUGAAAUUGAGUUAGAGAUUGUGAUAAUUUGAGUCUUUAGUUACUGUUACAAAUUGAUAUUUACUUUGUAAUAUUCUCAUGCGACGUCAACCUAUUAUUUACAUACAUCCAUACAUAUUUAUUUUUUGAGAAAAUAUUAUUUAUGCACAUAUAAAAGAAAAAUUUUAGCAAAGUGGUGUUGCAUGACACCCCUGAUAUCCUCCACUUGUUGAGAUCCAAUUCCAAAAGACUACGUAUCUCUUACGAUUUGAAAAUCAAGUCGGAGACCACCACACAUAUACAUGAAAUACCUCAACAAGUAGUGGACAUGGAAGAGAUUGUUUUGCAAAUGCCAUUCGUUUUCCAAGCUAUAAAUAGGAUAAUUCGACCAUAUCUUGCAACGACUUGAGUUGGCUUUGACGUGUAUAGGCUCAUAUCUCAAAGCAAGGGUAAGUUCAAAACACUCCUUCACUACCAAUAUGGUUGUUCUAAUGAGUGCCAGCAAGAAGAAGGUAUCAAUUGGUUUCCCCAAGGUUUUGGCUACGGAAGCUAAGUUGGGAUCGAUAAUAUGUAUCUACAGAGGAUGUGAAGGCGAUGACAAUGACGAUGAUGAUGAUGAUGCUUCAAAGGUGGCACCAGCUGCAUGAUAUUAUAAUAGUAUUUCCUACAACAACACAUAGUAAUACAUAUAGCUAGCUAGGUUCCCAUGUUUCUUUGCUGCAGAUGUUGCUCUAAAGUGAAUUAACAAUGUUGACAUCUAAAAGAGAGAGACAUGUAGUGAAGUGAGUUACGUCUGUAGAGAAGGAAGAGAGCAAUGCAUGAGAGAUAUCUUCUUGUUUUCAACUUACAGUAAUAUAUCUGUG